UGCAAUGAGAGUUGUGCUAAGGUAGCAUAAUAAUUCGUCUUUUAAUUGGAGACUGGUAUGAAUGGUUAGACGUGGGUUAACUGUCUCUUGGGGAUAGUGUUAAUUUUUCUUUUAAGUGAAAAGACUUAAGUUUUUGUAAAAGACGAGAAGACCCCGUCGAGUUUAAUUAAAUAGUAGAAUUGUUGUUUUACUUUGAAAGUUUGUUGGGGCAACAUAAGGUGAAAAAAAUCAUCUUAGAGAAAAAUGAGGACCUUUCUUGGAAAAACGCAGCAAAAACUACCGCGGGGAUAACAGCGUUAUCUUUCUUGAGAGAUCUUAUUGAGGGAAAGGUUUGCGACCUCGAUGUUGGAUUAUA
RNAcentral lists this ribosomal RNA (355 nucleotides) under Pelecyora isocardia. RNAcentral describes it as "partial 16S ribosomal RNA". It matches the Rfam family "Bacterial large subunit ribosomal RNA", at positions 1935 to 2541 of the family's 2925-position model. Lineage: Eukaryota; Metazoa; Mollusca; Bivalvia; Venerida; Veneridae. The record is from RNAcentral.